This 468-nucleotide ribosomal RNA is filed under the name uncultured bacterium. RNAcentral describes it as "partial 16S ribosomal RNA". It matches the Rfam family "Bacterial small subunit ribosomal RNA", at positions 28 to 507 of the family's 1533-position model. The record is from RNAcentral.
GACGAACGCUGGCGGCGUGCUUAACACAUGCAGGUCGAACGGAAAGGCCCUGCUUUUGUGGGGUGCCCGAGUGGCGAACGGGUGAGUAACACGUGAGUAACCUGCCCUUGACUUUGGGAUAACUUCAGGAAACUGGGGCUAAUACCGGAUAGGAGCUCCUGCUGCAUGGUGGGGGUUGGAAAGUCUCGGCGGUUGGGGAUGGACUCGCGGCUUAUCAGCUUGUUGGUGGGGUAGGGGCUUACCAAGGCUUUGACGGGUAGCCGGCCUGGGAGGGUGACCGGCGUCCAUGGGCCUGCGGUACGGCGCAGAGUGCUACGGGAGGCAGCAGGGGGGAAUCUGGCACAGUGGGCGCGAGCGUGAUGCAGCAACGCCGCGUGCGUGAUGACCGCCUGCGGGGUGUGAACCGCUUUCGCCUGUGACGAAGCGUGAGUGACGGUACUGAGUGAAUAAGCACCGGCUAACUACGUG